AUGGUAGAAGCAGAUAGGCCUGGCAAGCCUUUCAUUGGUGGCCUCCGUUUAGACACCAGUUAAAGACACUUAAAGCAGUAUUUGGGAAUUAUGGUCUCAUAUUGGAAGUUCUUCUGAUAAAUGAUUGGGAAACCAGCAAGUUCAGAUGCUUUGCAUUUAUUUUGAGAAAGCUGCAGAUGCUAAAAAUGUUGUCAAAGAUAUGAAUGGAAAUGUCCCAUGUCAUGUGGAUGAGAGAAUUCUGGAGGUCCUCCACGCAGAGUCAGUCUCUUCCUGGAGAAAUGACCAUGUGUCAUUAAGAGAUGAGGGUUAUGCAACUAAGGAUAG
Molecule: long non-coding RNA, 324 nt
Filed under: Homo sapiens (human)
Lineage: Eukaryota; Metazoa; Chordata; Mammalia; Primates; Hominidae
Description: non-protein coding lnc-RBMY1J-11:1
Source: RNAcentral